GGGGGGGGGGGUUAUACGAAGGUUUCAAAUCAAAGCUUUCUUGCUGGAGUUUAGCCGCAGCAUCUUUAAGUUUCUACAGCAUGAUUUUAUAAGUUAUUUAACUCCGAGGACUGUUUUACCUUUUUUCCUUGAAAUUCUCAUUAUGUUUCAUCUAAUCUUUUAGGUUUUUGACUGAUGUCAGACUGCAUAAAUUUUAAAUCCUCUUUUAGUCAUGUGCUGUUAUUGAUUGAUCGGUGCAUAAUGCUUUCCUAUUGGGCUUUCUAUUCUGAUAGUUUUUGAUGCUUUAUAGUUUAUGGUUUCUUUUGUGAGUGGUUAAAGCAUUGCUUUAUCAAAUCUUAGGUUCCAUUUUCUCAUUUCUUUGAUGCUUAAUCGCAAGGAGUUUAUUUUUGGAACAUGAUGGUGGCAUCUGCCAUGGUUAUGGCAGUUGCAUCUCCCUGCUUCUUUGCAUCCAAGUUCAAAAAAUGUUGGAUUUAACAUUAUAUGGUUGAAGUAUUUUGAUUUUUGUUGAUUCUGUUGCAUAUAUUUGAGUCAGUGCUAGCCUAAUGAUUGAUUCUUAUAAGAACGGAGAUCCAAAUGAUGCUCUCUGUUGAAGUCUGAUAAGUUUGGGCUCCAGAGGGAUCUGUGUAGAGUACUCUAUAGCAUAUGAAGGCAAGCAUGAUUGUGGUUCGUUCAUCUGUUUCUGCAUUUAAAAGAAACUAUCAUUUGUUUUUAAUUUCUAUUUAUUUGAGUUUCUCCUGUAGUAACUUGACUUGGAACUGAAGUCAUUACAAGCAGCCUUAAGGGAUAGCUUGCUCUCAAAAUAUUGGUUUUAGAGUUUUGAAGGAACAUAAUAUAUAAUUUUUAUUCAUCAUUUUUCACAGUGUUCUGCCUUUAUUGGAUUAUGUUGGCGGUAUUCUGGGAAUAUUUUUUGAGAGUUUUGAAGGAACGCUAUAUAUAUAUUGAUUAUAUGUCAAUUUUAUCCAUCAUCUUUAACUGGGUUAUGCUUUUCCUGUGUUAUGUUGGUGGUUUUAAAAGGACGCCGCUAUCUCAAUGCCUGUUCAAGGGGGUGGCUAUGAAAUAGGUGAUUUUUAUUGUCUAUAUACUUGAAUUACAUGGUAGGAGCUUUUGGUGGUUGGAAAGAUCAGUUUUGCUGAAUAACGGUCACCAAUCUGAAAGCUUUAAACUUCAUAUUAGUGGAGAAAUUGUAUGGGAUGUCUUUAUUUUGUUUUCAAGGAAAUGAUAUAUUCUGUUUGAUUUUGUAAUGCAAAAUGCUUCUGUGCUGGCAUAUUUCUUUAGAUGACCAUAACCAUAGUAAUUGCAAGCUGAAGUAGAUGGGAUUUGAAUUCCAUGUGAUUUGCUGAUUCUGACCUGAAUUUUAGAAAUUGCAGAAUGCUAAAAUUAAAGUUUUUUCUGAUAUCUGAGUAAAUAGGGACUUCUAGAUUGUUAUCAUCUGGCCAACUGUUCAUCUCUUCAUCUCAGACAAUCAUCAUGGGGUCCAACAUGCUGUAUACUUUGAUCUACUGAAGUCGAGGAACAGGGUCGGUAGCUCUGUCUUCUUGGACAUGCUGUCACCGAUGCAUCAUAAUUAUUUUAUAUUCUCAUAGAUUCACAUUUUGGAAUGUAUACGUUUUAUGUAGCGAUUAUUUCCCUAUCGAGGAAAAUGUAUACUUUGCAAGAAAAAUUAAAUGCACACCAAUCGUUUGCUUGCAUGUUUAUCAUUUUCAGGAUCCUCAAUUUUUGAAAGCUUCGGGGUAACAAUCUAGAUGUUGUAAGCUAAUUUAUGCAUUUGAUGAGACUUAUAGCAGAAUCAGAUGACGACAGAAGUCAAAGAAUUAAACUGUUGAUUGGGAGUUUACUUGGGGCCAACGGGCCCCUUUAUCUCACAAAAAAUGGUUAAAUGACAUUAGACCCCAUUAUCUCAUAAAAAAGGGUUAAAGACAUUAGACAUGGCCUAUAAUUCAGAAGUACUCUAUCUUGAUGAAUACUCAUAACUUGGCGGAAGGAGAAGAAAACCAAAGUUCUGUAAAUAUGCCCAAUUAAAAUGCUAUACAAGCAUUGAACGGGUUUUUAUU
Molecule: long non-coding RNA, 2051 nt
Filed under: Elaeis guineensis (African oil palm)
Lineage: Eukaryota; Viridiplantae; Streptophyta; Magnoliopsida; Arecales; Arecaceae
Description: long non-coding RNA (EGUI_LNC080609)
Source: RNAcentral